GUGCCCUUUUAAGGUUGACCACAUCUUAAGAGGCUAACACAAAAGAGUAAAUGAAAUCUCCAUAAAACCCAGAGAUGAGGCAGUAAAACUCCUCUUUGGAUCCUGUCUGGAGUUACAACU
Small nucleolar RNA from Dipodomys ordii (Ord's kangaroo rat), 120 nucleotides. The record is from Ensembl. Lineage: Eukaryota; Metazoa; Chordata; Mammalia; Rodentia; Heteromyidae.